GCUUCACCGAGGAGAUUGUGGGGAGGUUCAUCUGAAGACUGAUACCUAGGUUCAAUGCCUGGUUCUACCCCCAACUUCCUGUCUGAGUUUGACCCACAGGAAGCACUGCAACAAUGGUGGACAUGACGAUUUCUUCGAGGACAGUUUGUGGAGAGACAUAACGAAAAACAAUUCAAGUUGUUGGUGACAUUCACAGAGCAGCUGCAGAAGGUGGAAGGGCCAAGAAACAAGCACUGACAGAAUUGUAGUGAGUCGGUGUGGAUCCCCUCCUGCCCAGCAGAGGGAGCUCCCUCCCAGACACCCAAGUGGGCGGAGCUACCGCCACCUGUCCCUGCUACCUGGAGGAGCCGCCUGACCGCGCCGGGUCGGACUUCCCGGAGGAGCUGCCGGACCUGCCACCAAGCCCUGGUCCUGAGGAGCCUAUGCAGUUAGACUGGCCUGCAUCUGGUGCGAUCAACGAGAAUUCCCCCAGGAGUAGUGGUCAAAGAGGGAAAAGCUGCCUCCAGGGUGGAGAUGGAGAUGCUGUCUGCGGACUUUGACCAGUCAGGCACAAGUGCUAUCAGAAGACCUCAGUGUAGAGCUGUGUGGCUGAGGGAGGCCUUGAAAGAGUAUUUUACUACUCAGCCCAUUAACGUGGUGUGGUGGACUGUGCUCUAGCUAGCCCUGACCUUUUGGGGGCUGUUCGGAAUUGUG
This is a long non-coding RNA of Mauremys mutica (yellowpond turtle), 693 nucleotides long. RefSeq lists it as uncharacterized. NCBI's taxonomy places the organism in Eukaryota, Metazoa, Chordata, Testudines, Geoemydidae. The transcript is spliced from 4 exons. The record is from RefSeq and is a predicted model, not a curated record.